Molecule: small nuclear RNA, 129 nt
Organism: Vulpes vulpes (red fox)
Lineage: Eukaryota; Metazoa; Chordata; Mammalia; Carnivora; Canidae
Gene: U4
Rfam family: U4 spliceosomal RNA
About the family: U4 small nuclear RNA (U4 snRNA) is a component of the major U2-dependent spliceosome. The structure of U4 snRNA from yeast and human has been reported.
Source: Ensembl
CGCUUCGCUCAGUGGCAGUAUCGUAGCCAAUGAGGUUUAUCUGAGGCGCGAUUAUUGCUAAUUGAAAACUUUUCCCAAAACAUAUUCAUAUCCAUGAAGUAACACCAUUUAUGCCAUUUUGCACUCAAU